GCCUGGGUGGCUCAGUCGGUUGAGCGUCCGACUUUGGCUCAGGUCAUGAUCUCGAGGUUCGUGGGUUCGAGCCCCGCGUCGGGCU
RNAcentral lists this transfer RNA (85 nucleotides) under Felis catus (domestic cat). It matches the Rfam family "tRNA". From Rfam's summary of the family: Transfer RNA (tRNA) molecules are approximately 80 nucleotides in length. Their secondary structure includes four short double-helical elements and three loops (D, anti-codon, and T loops). The record is from Rfam by way of RNAcentral. Lineage: Eukaryota; Metazoa; Chordata; Mammalia; Carnivora; Felidae.